RNAcentral lists this long non-coding RNA (221 nucleotides) under Salvia miltiorrhiza (redroot sage). RNAcentral's name for it is "long non-coding RNA (SMIL_LNC013093)". The record is from RNAcentral. Lineage: Eukaryota; Viridiplantae; Streptophyta; Magnoliopsida; Lamiales; Lamiaceae.
CCAUGAUUUCUUUCCUUAGAAACCAAAAUACUGCCAUAACCGUCACUCUUACCUUCUUUAAACCCCUCAACCCACGAUUUACACCUACAAACCCUAACCUUCAAAAAACCGCUACACCACGAUCCCCACUCUCUCCAAACCUUAAAUUUCCAUAACUGUCGAUCAUCUUUUAAAAGCAAACCUUGUUCCCCAAUUUCCCCACAAAUCCAAACUUCCCCACA